Molecule: ribosomal RNA, 498 nt
Filed under: uncultured bacterium
Lineage: Bacteria
Description: partial 16S ribosomal RNA
Rfam family: Bacterial small subunit ribosomal RNA
Source: RNAcentral
GACGAACGCUGGCGGCGUGCCUAAUACAUGCAAGUCGAACUAGAGCGCCCGGUGCUUGUACUGUUCAAUCUAGUGGCGAACGGGUGAGUAACACGUGGGUAAUCUGCCCAUCAGAGGGGGAUAAUAUUCGGAAACGGAUGCUAAAACCGCAUAGGUCUUUGAACCGUAUGGUUUGAUGAGGAAAAGCGGCGCAAGCUUCUGCUGAUGGAGGUACCCGCGGUGCAGUAGCUGGUUGGUGAGGUAACGGCUCACCAAGGCCGGGAUGCAUAGCCGACCUGGGGGGAGGAUAGGCCACAUGGGAAGUAGGACACGGCCCAAACGCCUACGGGAGGCAGCAGUAGGGAAUCUUCCGCAAUGGACGCAAGUCUGACGGAGCAACGCCGCGGGAGUGAAGAAGGUUUUCGGAUCGUAAAGCUCUGUUGUUGGAGAAGAAUAAGUGCUGGAGUAACUGUUAGCGCCUUGACGGUAUCUAACCAGAAAGCCACGGCUAACUACGUG